AGUUGCUAACAUAUUUCAGGUGGUUGCUAGGCAGCUGCUAAGUGGUUGCUAGGCAGUUGCUAACGUUUUCCAGGUGGUUGCUAAGUGGUUGCUAGGCAGUUGCUAACGUUUUCCAGGUGGUUGCUAGGCAGUUGCUAAGUGGUUGCUAGGCAGUUGCUAACGUUUUCCAAGUGGUUACUAGGCAGUUGCUAAGUGGUUGCUAGGCAGUUGCUAACGUUUUCCAGGUGGUUGCUAAGGUGUUGCUAAGUGGUUGCUAGGCAGUUGCUAACGUUUUCCAGGUGGAUGCUAAGGUGGUUGCUAAGCAGUUAUUAGGUGGUUGCUAAGCCCUGGCUGGGGUGCCGGGGUGUCCAAACUUUUGACUGAUAGCUGCUCCAUACAGCAGCUCCUCCAUACACUCAC
Long non-coding RNA from Astyanax mexicanus (Mexican tetra), 399 nucleotides. RefSeq lists it as uncharacterized. Lineage: Eukaryota; Metazoa; Chordata; Actinopteri; Characiformes; Acestrorhamphidae. The record is from RefSeq and is a predicted model, not a curated record. The transcript has 3 exons.